Molecule: RNA transcript, 5210 nt
Organism: Equus quagga
Lineage: Eukaryota; Metazoa; Chordata; Mammalia; Perissodactyla; Equidae
Gene: SLC22A15
Gene name: solute carrier family 22 member 15
Exons: 12
Source: RefSeq, a predicted model, not a curated record
GCCGGGCCGCGCGCCGCGCCCGCAGAGGGAGGGCCGCGGCGCAGGGGGCGUCGGUCGGCUGGGCGGGAGGGGCCGGGCUCCCGCUCGCGGCUGGGCCCGGGCCGAGCGCGCGCCCGCCAUGGAGGUGGAGGAGGCGUUCCAGGCGGUGGGGGAGAUGGGCAUCUACCAGAUGUACUUGUGCUUCCUGCUGGCCGUGCUGCUGCAGCUCUACGUGGCCACAGAGGCCAUCCUCAUUGCACUGGUUGGGGCUACUCCAUCGUACCACUGGGACCUGGCAGAGCUCCUGCCGAAUCAAAGCCACGGCAACCGGUCAGGUGGUGAUGACCAGGCCCUCAGGGACUGGCUGCUGACAGCCAAUGGCAGCGAGAUCCACAAGCACGUGCACUUCAACAGCAGCUUCACCUCCAUCGCCUCUGAGUGGUUUUUAAUCGCCGACAGAUCUUACAAAGUCAGUGCCGCGAGCUCUUUCUUCUUCAGCGGCGUGUUUGUGGGAGUUCUCUCUUUUGGUCAGCUUUCCGAUCGCUUUGGAAGGAAAAAAGUCUAUCUCACAGGUUUUGCCCUUGACAUCUUAUUUGCUAUUGCAAAUGGAUUUUCCCCCUCCUAUGAGUUCUUUGCGAUAACUCGCUUCCUGGUGGGCGUGAUGAAUGGAGGGAUGUCGCUGGUGGCCUUUGUCCUGCUGAACGAAUGUGUGGGCACUGCCUACUGGGCACUCGCAGGAUCGAUCGGUGGCCUCUUCUUCGCGGUCGGCAUCGCCCAGUAUGCCCUGUUGGGAUACUUCAUCCGCUCCUGGAGGACCCUAGCCGUUCUGGUUAACCUGCAGGGAACAGUGGUCUUUCUCUUAUCUUUAUUCAUUCCUGAAUCCCCUCGUUGGUUAUACUCCCAGGGUCGACUGAGUGAGGCUGAAACAGCUCUGUACCUCAUUGCCAAGAGGAACCGCAAGCUCAAGUGUACGUUCUCACUAACACAUCCGGCCAACAGGAGCUGCAAGGAGACCGGAAGUUUUCUGGACCUGUUCCGUUACCGGAUCCUCUUGGGGCACACUCUGACCCUGAUGUUCAUCUGGUUUGUGUGCAGCUUGGUCUAUUAUGGCCUGACUCUAAGUGCAGGGGAUCUUGGUGGAAAUAUUUAUGCCAACCUGGCCCUGUCUGGCCUCAUAGAGAUCCCAUCCUAUCCUCUCUGCAUCUACUUGAUUAACCAAAAAUGGUUUGGUCGGAAGCGGACAUUAGCAGCAUUUCUAUGCCUGGGAGGACUGGCUUGUCUUAUUGUAAUGUUCCUUCCAGAAAAGAAAGACACAGGUGUGUUUGCAGUGGUGAACAGCCGUUCCUUGUCUCUGCUGGGGAAGCUGACGAUCAGUGCUGCCUUUAACGUCGCCUAUAUCUACACCUCUGAGCUGUACCCGACAGUCAUCAGGAAUGUCGGGCUUGGCGCUUGUUCCAUGUUCUCCCGAGUUGGUGGGAUUAUUGCUCCUUUCAUCCCCUCACUGGUUGAAAUACGUGCAGUGGUCUUUACCCUUCAUUGUCUUUGGAGCCACGGGCCUGACCUCGGGCCUCCUGAGUUUAUUAUUGCCAGAAACCCUUAACAGUCCAUUGCUAGAGACGUUUUCCGACCUUCAGGUGUAUUCAUAUCGGAGGCUGGGGGAGGAAGCGUUAUCUUUACAGACUUUGGAUCCCCCACAGUCUGCAGGCAAGGAGAGCGCUUUAGGGAGUGAGAGUGAGGAAGAGGAAGAGUUUUACGACGCGGAUGAAGAGACUCAGAUGAUCAAGUGAAGGGCCCCAGACUCCUCCUGAGCAGCAGAGGAUCAUCGUUUGUGCCUCUGGCUAAGGCAGGUUCUCCCAGGAAACUUAGGAGGGUUGUAGAAAGAUAGGCUUGAACAUAUGUGGAAGGGCCUCCGCGUGGACUGAUUUGUUCAGGCAGAAAGGAAGUUGGAGAAGAGAUUUCGUGAGAGAGACCAUCACUGCAUUGAGGGAAUGGUUGUUAAUUUGUCCAAAAUUUGGGUUUAGCUCAGAACCAUGACCUCUGGCCGGAUAGCUCAAAUCCACAUACCAGAGUGGCAAGCUGAUUUAUUCCUAGAAGUUUGAUCAAGUUGCUUUUUCUUCAUCAUGAUCUAAAGGCAGAUAUGUAAAAUUUCUUCUCACUGUUUUAGUGGGAUAAGAUAAACCACUCGUAAGAUUUAAGGUUUGGGUUUUUAAAAUUAGGUUUUUUAGGUUCUUAAAAUUUCGUCUUUAUGCCAUAUUUGACAUCUACCCUUAUCAGGUGCUCCUCACCAGGGAUCUUUUGAGGCAAGUUGGUAUUAGCGUUUCAAUUUUGUGCCAGGGGAAAAGCACUGAGGUGAUUUGUGUGGCCUGGGGCCCUCCAGCUUUGCCCUAUCAGAUGAACUUUGGGUCCUCAGCUUGGUUCCCAGCCUGGCAGUUGGCUUGAGUUCCCUGUGCCUAUAGUCCCACAGAUCAUCUACUAGGAGAUACCAGCUGUACCAAAGUGAUCUUCUCAGAGUCAGAGAUGUGGCUGCAGCUUCCUGUGAGCUCCCCUUGAGACUCAAAUUGUGUAAUUUCUUCAGUUCCCACUUAUGCACACUCCAGAAAAAUUUCCAUCUCAGAUUCUAGUACCAGCAAUAACUUCAGAAUCAUGCACAGUAAAUGAUGAAGUUUCAUAAAGCUGGAAGGCAGUUAAAAAGUGACCUGUUGAGUACUUGGAUAUUAAAAUGAAAAUAAAAGGUAUCAUUUUUUAAUAAGGAAGAAAAGAAAAUUAUCUUUCACAGUUUUUUGUUUGUUUUCAGUCUUGUGCAAUGAAUGAGGGACUUGGGCAAGAUUCAAGAUCUUGAACUCUUUUAAUCCUAGAUCAGCCCCUGCCUGUUUAGUAGAAUGGAAGCCUCAGUAACUUCAUAGAAAAUGUUGACUUUUCAUUAAGUACUACAAACUUUCAAAUAAGUCAAAAUCAUACUUACUUUGCUAAAAAUAUGUUUCCCUGUGAAACUUGAGUGUUAUCCCAAAUAAGAGUAUUAACCUGGAGUCAGCAAGCUUGGGCAGCAUUGCUGUGGGUCACUAGGAAAAUGUCUUUGUGUUUUCAGAAUUUCCAUUUCUACUAAUCUCUUGGAGAAAAGAAAUUGCAUUAGAGGUAGAGAGAAGAUGUCACUGUGACUGCUUCUGGAAAUCUUGGAGGGAUCACCCACAGUUGGCUCCAACACUCUUCUGUCCUCUUCUACAUUGACUUCUUUUCUUGCACUCUAUCAGUCUUUGUAUUUGUUAAAAUAUUUUUAUCUCCUUUAUGCCCUUGAUUAUGUAUUGAGCUCUUCACAAAUAGGGCCAUCUCUACCACUGUUUAUUUCUCUCUGCUGUGCCCAGACAUGGGCCUAGACACAGGAGGACCCUAAUAAGUAUUAUUGUUUCCAGCCAUCAGGGAAAUUGUGAAACUCCUCCCAGUAUCAUUUUUAUAAAUCCCAGGAAAAUUUGACCCAAACCCCCAAAUUGUGGAAUCCUGCUUGUCUUUCUGGAAAAUGGAGACCCUCCCCAACACCAGGAGAAGAACAGAGGAAGAACUUACAAGGACACUUAGAAGGUCUUCUUUAUUGGUCGAAUGUUAAAGAUAAAACAAUAAACUAACAUAUAUGUGAUUUUUGCCUGGUUGGAGCUCUCUGCAUUAUAAGAGUAAUACAUCCCAUUAUAGGAAAUUUAGAAACUAGACGUUAAAAAAUUUAUCACCCAUAGGGCCAACACACAGAGAUAGCCAGUAUAUGGCUUUGUUCUAUUUGAAGACCAGGAAUCCAUCUCUCUAUUAGCACUGGGGUUCCCUCUGCCUCUGGCUACAUAAAUGAGGAUUCUGUUAAUUCUGUCCCUGUGUAUCCUCUUCUCCCAGCUCUGGGGUGGAAGAAGGGAGGAAGGGAUACACAGUUUGAAUACAUGUUGCUUAAUAGGGCUGGGCGUGCUAUCAGCUGCUCAUAUUGGAUGUGUCACUAAAUUUUGUUUCUUUCUAGAUGGUCUGUUGGCAAAGUUUAAUAAUUACUCUUUUAUCAUUCCACUGCCUUUUAUAAAAAUAAAGUUUUUUCCCUUUGAUAUUAACUGUUGAAGAAUAGUGAUUGUAGAGAAUAUACACAUUUGUAUAUUUGUGUGGAUUAAAUUAUUGGAAAACUUAAUUUAUAGGUAACAUUUUGAUUGUGCAGACGAUUUGUAAAAAAUAUCCUUUUUUAUUUUUUUAUUGUAUUCAAAAUUAAAUUUCUUUUUUCCUAAAAAGCAGCAAGAAAAAUGUAAGACACGUAAGAAACCGCAGGAUUUCCAGGGUCAAAGGUCUGCUAACAGUUUGUUCAGAACCUUGGCACCACAUGGAUUUGUUGAAAGAAACUGUGUUCUGGUUUCCUGAUUUGUUGAGUUAAAACCACUGCCCAUUGAAAAGGCAAUAUUUGUCAUUUGGCUGCUUUCAAGCAAUAUGAACUUCUUUAGUAUUUAAAAAUGAGCAAAUAAAAUACAAGAAAUACACAAGAAGCAAAUGAAAGUUCCCGGGGCAAUGCUUAAGUGAAUGUAAUCUGGACAGGCAUUUUUGUGGAGGUCAAAUUGAUGAAGAUAGUUUUAGUAGAUGUAAAUUCUUCACAACAACAUUGAGAAUUGUCACUAUUACAUCAGAAUUAAAAUACAGCUUUCCAGUAGGACUUACUCCUCCAUUACAAGUUCUUAUUAGAUCAUUGGUUCUUAAAUUGGAAAGAUAUCUAUAAAAGAUUUUUUAACUAAAUAAAAUGCAGGUAUUUUGGCCUCUUAUGAAUUUAAUAAAGAGUCACAAAACAUAAGCCUUUUCUUUUGUUCUUACAGAAUGUGUCAGGAUAUAUAGUAGCAUCCUUGACAAAUUGGGCAUGUAUAGAAUCUGCUAGAACUUAUGGGUGGUGUGUGGGACAGUGGCUGUAGUGAAGUUUGGAAGUCAUAGGCACAAUAGAUAACUAUAAAAAUAUUUUUAGAGAGAGAAAAAUGCAAAGAUAAUGCAUUGUUGAAAAAUUCAUCUAUGCAGUACAUAAAGAAGAAUAAGAUCUUAUGAUUACCUCAGUAGAUACAUAAAGAGUAUUUGGCAAAAUUCAACACCUACUUAAAAUAAAAGCUAUUAGCAGUCAAGGAAUGAAAGGAAACUUCCUUAGCAAAAUAAGGGAUAUUGUAGUCCAUACAGCGAAUCGGUACACAGUGUCUCUUCACCUUCCUGGUACCUUGGGCUUCAAACUUUCUUGAUCUUGACCCACA